This is a long non-coding RNA of Momordica charantia (bitter melon), 561 nucleotides long. RefSeq lists it as uncharacterized. NCBI's taxonomy places the organism in Eukaryota, Viridiplantae, Streptophyta, Magnoliopsida, Cucurbitales, Cucurbitaceae. The record is from RefSeq and is a predicted model, not a curated record.
CAGUCAUUAUAAAUACCAAAGUUGUUGAAAAUAUAUGAUCAUUCAACAGAUUUUGCUAAGUGAAAAAUGGCUAGGCCAAUUCUAGCUGAUUACCAUGGAGGCUUUGGAGAUGUCACCUUGUAACGAUCUUCAAAAGAAAAGAGAUGGUGGCGGUGGUGGCUGCGGCGGAGGUUGCGGUGGUGGAGGCUGUGGUGGCUGUGGUGGUGGUUGAUUUUGAUUGAUAUGGUGUCUACAAAUAUAUGUCCUAUAUUUAAUUUGUAUGCUUUAAUUUUUAGUAUUGGUAUAUUUUAAUUUACAACCUCUUGGUUGGACAUAUAUGUCGUUUAUCGUUGAACUAUGUUCCCUUUGACAAUGUUCCUUUUGAUAUUAGUAACUCUGUUGGAGGUUUUUUAAUUUUUUUGUUUUUAUUAUUUUUAAGUAUAAUAUGUGGAGUCGGUGAUACAUAUCUUAAUAAAUUGAGUCAGGUCUAAACAGGCGACAAUUCCUUAGAGGUUGUUUCUUUGAAAUCGAUGACUUUGUAUUUAAUUAAUAUCCUAAAAUGAAUCUAUUUUCCUUACCAUU